RNAcentral lists this ribosomal RNA (254 nucleotides) under uncultured prokaryote. Its description in RNAcentral is "partial 16S ribosomal RNA". It matches the Rfam family "Bacterial small subunit ribosomal RNA", at positions 525 to 777 of the family's 1533-position model. The record is from RNAcentral.
ACGUAGGGGGCGAGCGUUGUCCGGAAUUACUGGGCGUAAAGGGCGUGUAGGCGGCCUUGCAAGUCUGGGGUGAAAGCCCACGGCUCAACCGUGGGACUGCCUUGGAAACUGCAGGGCUUGAGGGCAGGAGAGGAGAGCGGAAUUCCCGGUGGAGCGGUGGAAUGCGUAGAGAUCGGGAGGAACACCAGUGGCGAAGGCGGCUCUCUGGCCUGUCCCCUGACGCUGAGGCGCGAAAGCGUGGGGAGCAAACGGGA